GCACACAUUGUGCAGCUGGCCGCCUGUCUCUCAUAGAGCGCCGCGUACACGCAAACGUGCGUUCAUAACUUCCGACACCCACCGCCUCCGGCGCUCGUGCCCCCAGUUUCCGAACUUGGCGAGGCCGUGCGCACACCUCUCUCUCUCUGCCGGGUGACCCCGUUGCGAUGAGCACUUUUGAAUCCGUCCUUUUCACCAAUGGGCUCAUGGUUAAUCACAGGCACUACUACACUUACGACGCUUCCGCGAAGCGCCUGCCGUGCACCUACGUUUUUCCCACCGGAUACUGUUAUCGCCGCACGCCCAGUGCCUCAUUCUGUGGCAUCACCUGCAAGAUCAUUAUUGGCAGCGUCUUGGGCGGCCUCGCGCUUCUGUGCCUGGCUGUCCUCGUUGUGUACCACUUCCGCCGCCGCAAGACUACGCAGCAGCCAAGCACUGAGGUGGCUCACAUUUCGAGCACUAACCAGCCGGGCCCUGCACAGACUGUACCUCCUCCACAGCAGCCGAUGUUUGGCGGCAGAGACUACGCGGGCGCGGCUGGCUACGACCGCGCCUCGCUGCCGAUGCCGCCUGCUUUCCCUGGCAAUGGUGUAGCGCCCCUCGGUCACGUGUCCAACACGUACGUCCCUGCUCCGACAGGCUAUGGCUAUCAGCCAUACCCACCGCAGCUUGGCUACCCAUUGGCGACCACGCAGGCCACGGAUGGUGUUUACGUGGGAGGGGCCACGUACUAUGCACGCGCGCGGGCGGCAGAAGACACCGCGGCUGCUUUCUCCGCGUCGAGCAGCGGCUACCCCCACCCGGAGAAGGAGGCGUCGUGAUCCAUCUUCGAGCUACUGCCGACGCUUAUAGAACGCAUGUCGCCAUGGCUGCUCGUGUGUCAGUGGUUUCCGCCACUGGAUGAGUGUUGCAGUGCGGUGACUCAGUCCUCGCUUCUGGGCCUUCUCCAGCCUACUGUCGCUAAGCAACGAAUGGCAAUAUCCGAGGUCUGGCCGCAGGUGAAGGCUUCAAAGAGCUGUGCCCAUUCCUGUGCUUCUUCGCUUGAUGGCAUAUGUGUUGCUCGCCCUUUUUUGUGGCUUUUCGCUGUGUUGUUGACUCCUACGCACCCCCUUCCCUCUCUACGUUUGGGUUCGUCGCGAUUUGUAUACUUCCUCCGCUGAGCGGGUUCGUUUUGUCCCGCCUCCCGCAUGUGCCUCUCCUUUCCCUCUCCUCCUCUCUGUGUGUGGGUGUUUUGCUUCCCGUUUUCGCUUUUGCUUUAUACCUUCGGCACUGUCCCGGCCCCUGCGUCUCUCUCUCUUCCGUCUUCUCCUUCAUCCGCGCACGUGCGCACAUACACAUGGGUGCCAGUCAGCCGGCACGUGCAUCUGAGCAUAUGCUGAUCAUACUUCCUUUCAUCUGUCUUGUUCCUGUCAGCUACUCAUCUCCUCUUUUGGUGGUCAAGUGCGAGGACUCCGCAUGUGCGCAUGCAGCAUCCGUUUUUCUCUGCCUUUCUCCCUCCGUAUCUUGAGCCCUUGCCUGUCCCCCGUGCCUCUCUCUCGUUGCGUGCGCUCUUUUGUUUUCGCGAUUCCGCCCUCUGCCAUUCCCCCACCUCGCCCGAUCCUCUACCGCACACCGCACUCCCCGUGCCUCCCCUUCACCUUCCUCGCUGAGCAGCGCCCCUCUUUCCACCUUUCAUGCCUCGCCCUCCCUCCUCUACCAGAUGCAAAGGGAUCUGAGUGCUCUGUGCAUGCCCUCUCCCUUUCUCGGCUGAGUGUUCUCUGGCUUCAAACGCUGCCCACAGUCACCUCAUCGCUACACUCUCUUGUUCAUCUCAAGCUUCUCCGUGUCCUCUCUUCGACUCUGCGGAAGGAUGCCUGUUGUGAAGGGCCCUGCAGAUUCCUUGAGGAUGGAAGGCUUGUGCUAUACUUCCUCUGUUGACAGCGCUGGAUAUGACGGGCACGACAACGCAGCAGCAGCAGCAGCGGAAGUCUCGCAGUGCAUCAGCUGUGACAGGAAGGCAUUCGGCUCAGACGCUUUUUCCGCCUCUGUCGUGCUUUUCGCCCCCUCCCCUCUCUCCCUCCCUCAUGUGCUGCAGAGUCUGUGCCUUUUUUUGUCUUGGAAGCUUGGACAGGAAUGAAGGAGAGAUGACCGGAAAACGGAUAUGAUGAUGAGAUGUGAGCGGGCAUGCUCUCCGCCGCUCCAACGGCACGCAUCGCCAGCCAUGCGUCUUCUGCUUACCGCAUUUUGUUCUUCUACUCCUUUCAUGCCUCGAGGGAUCGGCCCAUCGCACGCUUUGGAUUCUCCCCCGCCAACCCCUUUGAUUGCCCACCAUGGCAGGGAUCGUUGGGUGACGGAAAAGGCGGAUGCCUAGGUCUACUUACUCGCGGGUAGUCUUGCCCGAUGGUGCCUUGAAGGCAACGGAAGGCUCACGGAGUGCUCUGCCAGCGUUAGCGGUAUGGAGAGCGCGAGCGGAGGGAUACGGUGUCGGUAUAGUGCUCCAGGGAGAUAGGAAACUCGCCAGUUGGGAUCAGUUGGGCGCAUGCAUCGGAAUACAUCGUGCUUAUAUCUUAGCACCAUCCUCUUUCCUCCUCCUAUCCGUACGCGUGUACAGUGAGCAAGCAUCCCCCCGCACGCAUGCAGGUCGCUGGCCCGCACGACCAACUCGUUGAACGACCCUUGUGUGCGCGACUGGCUCUCUCUCUUCGUGAAACUUGUUGAGGGAGCAAAGCAGGGAAAAAUGCGAAAACAUCUGGUCUCUUUCUCUGCCUCCUGCCCUGCACAUGGCUCUCCUCCGCUUCUUCCACUUCUUUUUCGCUGUGUGUUCGAAUGCGUGUCUCCGAAACCGACCGGAUGAUUCGAUGCAGCGGUAACGGAAAUGGGACGCGUUGUUUUGUUCAGCACAGACGCGGCGUGCGAGGUUGCGUGAAGCUGUGCGUGCAUCGCAGAGGCGCACUGCGCGAGGAGGCUGAUCUGUCGUACGCUCGCUGAGCUCUACUAGCGCCCCUCUCCUUUCCGCCUCUCUU
RNAcentral lists this unclassified non-coding RNA (3002 nucleotides) under Leishmania donovani. RNAcentral's name for it is "gene:unknown". The record is from RNAcentral. Lineage: Eukaryota; Euglenozoa; Kinetoplastea; Trypanosomatida; Trypanosomatidae.